GUGGGGAAUAUUGGGCAAUGGGGGAAACCCUGACCCAGCGACGCCGCGUGAGGGAAGAAGGCCUUAGGGUCGUAAACCUCUGUUGUGUGGGAAGAAGAGCGUGACGGUACCACACGAGGAAGUCCCGGCUAACUACGUGCCAGCAGCCGCGGUAAUACGUAGGGGACGAGCGUUGUCCGGAAUUACUGGGCGUAAAGGGCGCGUAGGCGGUCAUUUAAGUCAGCUGUGAAAUGGUCCGGCUCAACCGGAUCAUGCGGUUGAAACUGGAUGACUGGAGUGCUGGAGAGGCAAGUGGAAUUCCCAGUGUAGCGGUGAAAUGCGUAGAUAUUGGGAAGAACACCGGUGGCGAAGGCGACUUGCUGGCCAGCAACUGACGCUGAGGCGCGAAAGCCAGGGGAGCAAACGGGAUUAGAAACCCCGGUAGUCC
Molecule: ribosomal RNA, 427 nt
Filed under: uncultured bacterium
Lineage: Bacteria
Description: partial 16S ribosomal RNA
Rfam family: Bacterial small subunit ribosomal RNA
Source: RNAcentral